CGCCUCUUGAAGUCCCACAAUAAGAGGUCCUGCCUGCCCUGUGACAAUAUGUUUAACGGCCGCGGUAUUUUAACCGUGCAAAGGUAGCGCAAUCACUUGUCUUUUAAAUAAAGACCUGUAUGAAUGGCAUAACGAAGGCCUAGCUGUCUCCUCUUUCAAGUCAAUGAAACUGAUCUUUCCGUGCAGAAGCGGAAAUUUAACCAUAAGACGAGAAGACCCUAUGGAGCUUUAGAUACUAUAGCAGCUUAUAUUAAAUACUCCAAAAUAAAAGAGAAAAAACUAAAUUGCUCUGCCCUAAUAUCUUUGGUUGGGGCGACCACGGGAAAUUAAAUAACUCCCAUGCGGAACAGGAGAACUACUCCCACAACUAAGAGUUACAACUCUAAUAAACAAAAUUCUGACCAGUAAGAUCCGGCAAUGCCGAUCAACGGACCGAGUUACCCUAGGGAUAACAGCGCAAUCCUCUUUUAGAGCCCAUAUCGACAAGAGGGUUUACGACCUCGAUGUUGGAUCAGGACAUCCUAAUGGUGCAGCCCGCUAUUAAAGGUUCGUUUGUUCAACGAUUAAAGUCCU
RNAcentral lists this ribosomal RNA (573 nucleotides) under Psednos groenlandicus (Greenland dwarf snailfish). RNAcentral's name for it is "partial 16S ribosomal RNA". It matches the Rfam family "Bacterial large subunit ribosomal RNA", at positions 1832 to 2597 of the family's 2925-position model. Lineage: Eukaryota; Metazoa; Chordata; Actinopteri; Perciformes; Liparidae. The record is from RNAcentral.